This 67-nucleotide transfer RNA is filed under the name Paralvinella hessleri. Its description in RNAcentral is "tRNA-Glu". Lineage: Eukaryota; Metazoa; Annelida; Polychaeta; Terebellida; Alvinellidae. The record is from RNAcentral.
GUGUGUGUAGUAUAAAUUAAUACAAUGGCCCUUCACCCCAUAAAUUUGAUACCUUUCAACACGCACA